UUGGCUUGUAGCCAGCUAAUUCAGUAACUAUAGUAAGUAACAAAGAAACAGAAGAGCUUUUGAGUGUAUGAGAGAAAUAAACUAAUGUGUGAGUGUAUGUCUAAGACUGUAGAAGAGAGCCAUAUAUAUAAUAAUUUGAAAGCUAGGUAAAAUAAGGUAAUAAUCAAAUUGUCUAGUAAUUAUAGAACUCAGAGUAAAAUCAGUUCAAGCCCUCCAUUGAUUAAGGGAAUUAGUUUAAACGGUAAACAGCAUGUGACAAGUAAGGAAAGAAAUUAUUCGUAACUGGAAUAUAACAAAUAAGGAAAGACUUCAAAUAGUGCAACUAUAGAACAUGUAAUUAGGGCUAGGUUUAGAAAGUUCUAAUUAAAGAAAUAAUUAGUAAAAAUCAAGUAACAAUGCAGACAAGGUAAGGGAAAAUUAAUUAAGGCAAGCAAAUCAAUGAGAUUGAGUAGAAAGGUAAGAAUCGAAGGCUCAAGGGAAAGUGUUCAAGUCAACCCAAGAAAUAAGGAAUUCAAAAUAUUACAUAGCUCAAUCAAAGAAAAAGUCAUGAAAACGGUCAGCAAGUUCAAAAUAUAAAUAAGGCAAAACAUAUAGUUAAGAAUCGACACAUAACUCUAGCAAAAAUAAAAGUUUAACAAUCAAUAAGAAUGAGGCAAAUCUUGAUGUGAACAGUCAAGAUGAAGCACAUAGAACCAAUGAAAGUUUACACUAAGAAACUAAGUAGAAGCAUAUCAAGGCAACACAGUCACGAAAAAUAACAAAAAUUCAAAACAAGAACCAGUCA
This 784-nucleotide long non-coding RNA is filed under the name Nicotiana benthamiana. Its description in RNAcentral is "long non-coding RNA (NBEN_LNC012897)". The record is from RNAcentral. Lineage: Eukaryota; Viridiplantae; Streptophyta; Magnoliopsida; Solanales; Solanaceae.